This is a ribosomal RNA of Cephalotus follicularis, 127 nucleotides long. The record is from Rfam. Lineage: Eukaryota; Viridiplantae; Streptophyta; Magnoliopsida; Oxalidales; Cephalotaceae.
GGGAGCGAUCAUACCAGCACUAAUGCACCGAAUCCCAUUGGAAAUCCGAAGUUAAGCAUGCUUGGACGAGAAUAGUACGAAGAUGGGCCUGUCAUAUGACUUUUAUAGACACAGGCUAGUGCCAUGA